Molecule: long non-coding RNA, 233 nt
Filed under: Elaeis guineensis (African oil palm)
Lineage: Eukaryota; Viridiplantae; Streptophyta; Magnoliopsida; Arecales; Arecaceae
Description: long non-coding RNA (EGUI_LNC006802)
Source: RNAcentral
GGUGCGUAGAAUCGAGAAGGGCAGCAAGGACAUGAAAAUAUCCAUGCACAUGCAUAAGAUUCAAGAAUUGUCCUUACGUACUUCGCUGAUGACUAGAUGGACCUAUGAGCUCACAUACGGAGUUGCAACACCCCACGUGAUAAAUAUUAUAUCCGAAACCAAUGAUAGUCAAGCAAAUGGAUUGAUGGUCGGUUGUUUUGGCUGUUAGCUGCUUUUGAUCCUAGGUGUUGCGG